CCUACGGGUGGCUGCAGUGGGGAAUAUUGCACAAUGGGGGAAACCCUGAUGCAGCAACGCCGCGUGAGUGAAGAAGUAUUUCGGUAUGUAAAGCUCUAUCAGCAGGGAAGAGAAUGACGGUACCUGACUAAGAAGCCCCGGCUAACUACGUGCCAGCAGCCGCGGUAAUACGUAGGGGGCAAGCGUUAUCCGGAUUUACUGGGUGUAAAGGGAGCGUAGACGGCUGUACAAGUCUGAAGUGAAAGCCCGUGGCUCAACCGCGGAACUGCUUUGGAAACUGUAAAGCUGGAGUGUGUGAGAGGAUAGUGGAAUUCCAGGUGUAGGAGUGAAAUCCGUAGAUAUCUGGAGGAACAUCAGUGGCGAAGGCGACUAUCUGGCACAUAACUGACGCUGAGGAGCGAAAGCGUGGGUAGCAAACAGGAUUAGAUACCCGAGUAGUC
RNAcentral lists this ribosomal RNA (440 nucleotides) under uncultured bacterium. RNAcentral's name for it is "partial 16S ribosomal RNA". It matches the Rfam family "Bacterial small subunit ribosomal RNA", at positions 338 to 795 of the family's 1533-position model. The record is from RNAcentral.